This 252-nucleotide ribosomal RNA is filed under the name uncultured bacterium. RNAcentral's name for it is "partial 16S ribosomal RNA". It matches the Rfam family "Bacterial small subunit ribosomal RNA", at positions 524 to 776 of the family's 1533-position model. The record is from RNAcentral.
GACGUAGGGUCAGACGUUGUCCGGAUUUACUGGGCGUAAAGGGCGCGUAGGCGGUGCCACAAGUCACCUGUGAAAUCUCCGGGCUUAACUCGGAGCCUGCAGGCGAAACUGUGGUGCUGGAGUGUGGGAGAGGUGCGUGGAAUUCCCGGUGUAGCGGUGAAUGCGUAGAUAUCGGGAGGAACACCUGUGGCGAAAGCGGCGCACUGGACCAUAACUGACGCUGAGGCGCGAAAGCCUAGGGGAGCAAACAGG